UGUGGCCACUGACAUUGAGACUGGCUA
RNAcentral lists this non-coding RNA (27 nucleotides) under Homo sapiens (human). Lineage: Eukaryota; Metazoa; Chordata; Mammalia; Primates; Hominidae. The record is from RNAcentral.